Molecule: non-coding RNA, 812 nt
Filed under: Pseudoglomeris planiuscula
Lineage: Eukaryota; Metazoa; Arthropoda; Insecta; Blattodea; Blaberidae
Source: RNAcentral
CGAAAGUUUGAUUUUUGCUUUAAGAUUUGAUUUAAUUUAUUAUUAAAUGUUUAAUAUAAGAUAAUUAUUAUAUUCUUGAAGAAUAUAUAUAUAUAUAUAUAUUGCAAUAAAAAAUAUUAAAAAUUGAUGAAAGUUUGAUUUAGUUAUUGUUAUUAAGUAUUGAUAAAAUAUGUGCCAGCAAUCGCGGUUAUACAUAGAAUAUAAUUAAAUUUUAUUAGUUUAAGAGUUACUUUUAUUUUAAUAAUCAUUAUAAUUAUUUUUUGGGUGAAAUUUAAAGUUUUAUAAUGAUUAUUAUAUGGAAAAAUGAGAGGAGGCUAAUGAAGAUUCAUUAAAUUAAACUAGGAUUAGAUACCCUAUUAUACGUUUUUUAAAUAUUUAAACUUAGGUAGUAGUAGUUAUAGUCUUGAAACUUAAAAUUUUUGGCGGUAUUUUAGUCUAUUUAGAGGAAUUUGUCCCAUUAUCGAUAAUCCACGUUGAACCUAACUUAAAUCAUUAAUAUGUAUACCGCCGUAUAGAAAAUCUUUAUAGAGAUAUUUUCUUGAUUAAUUUAAUUAAAUCUUAUUUCAGGUCAAGGUGCAGUUUAUAUUUAAGUGGAGAUGAAUUACAAUAUUUAAAAGUAAAUGAAUUAUGAAUUGAAAUUUUUAUAUGAAGGUGAAUUUAAUAGUAAUAUUAAUAAGAAUAUUAAUAUGAUAUAAUUUAGCUCUAAAAUAUGUACAUAUCGCCCGUCACUCUCGUUUAUAAAAUGAGAUAAGUCGUAACAAAGUAGGUGUACCGGAAGGUGUAGCUGGAAGGAUAUUAAAUAAUUAGUAAGU